Molecule: unclassified non-coding RNA, 434 nt
Filed under: soil metagenome
Description: partial contains 5.8S ribosomal RNA, internal transcribed spacer 2, and large subunit ribosomal RNA
Rfam family: 5.8S ribosomal RNA (bases 1-120)
Source: RNAcentral
GAUGAAGAACGUAGCGAAAUGCGAUACGUAAUGUGAAUUGCAGAAUUCAGUGAAUCAUCGAAUCUUUGAACGCAUAUUGCGCUCUUUGGUAUUCCGAAGAGCAUGCUUGUUUGAGUAUCAGUAAACACCUCAAAGCUUUUGGAUUUUUUAAUCGAAAAGCUUUGGACUUGAGCAAUCCCAACACCAAUCUUUUUGAGCUCGGUGGCGGGUUGCUUGAAAUGCAGGUGCAGCUGGACAUUCUCCUGAGCUAAAAGCAUAUUCAUUUAGUCCCGUCAAACGGAUUAUUACUUUUGCUGCAGCUAACAUAAAGGGAGUUUGACCGUAUUGGCUGACUGAUGCAGGAUUUCACAAGGGUCGGCAACGAUUCUUGUUAAACUCGAUCUCAAAUCAAGUAAGACUACCCGCUGAACUUAAGCAUAUCAAUAAGCGGAGGA